AAUCCAUGUAUAGGUCACUUUCGCAACAAUUCUUUAAAUCUUUCCCAUGCUUCAUACAAGCUUUUAUCUUCUAACAACUUGAAUGAAGUAAAAUCAUUUCGAAGCUU
Molecule: small nucleolar RNA, 107 nt
Organism: Hibiscus syriacus
Lineage: Eukaryota; Viridiplantae; Streptophyta; Magnoliopsida; Malvales; Malvaceae
Source: RefSeq, a predicted model, not a curated record